RNAcentral lists this ribosomal RNA (771 nucleotides) under uncultured bacterium. Its description in RNAcentral is "bacterial SSU rRNA". It matches the Rfam family "Bacterial small subunit ribosomal RNA", at positions 8 to 796 of the family's 1533-position model. The record is from RNAcentral.
AGAGUUUGAUCCUGGCUCAGGACGAACGCUGGCGGCGUGCUUAACACAUGCAAGUCGAGCGGAAAGGCCCUUCGGGGUACUCGAGCGGCGAACGGGUGAGUAACACGUGAGUAACCUGCCCCAAACUUUGGGAUAACCCUCGGAAACGGGGGCUAAUACCGGAUACGACACAGCUUCGCAUGGGGUCUGUGUGGAAAGUUUUUCGGUUUGGGAUGGGCUCGCGGCCUAUCAGCUUGUUGGUGGGGUAACGGCCUACCAAGGCGACGACGGGUAGCCGGCCUGAGAGGGCGACCGGCCACACUGGGACUGAGACACGGCCCAGACUCCUACGGGAGGCAGCAGUGGGGAAUAUUGCACAAUGGGCGGAAGCCUGAUGCAGCGACGCCGCGUGAGGGAUGACGGCCUUCGGGUUGUAAACCUCUUUCAGCAGGGACGAAGCGCAAGUGACGGUACCUGCAGAAGAAGCGCCGGCCAACUACGUGCCAGCAGCCGCGGUAAGACGUAGGGCGCGAGCGUUGUCCGGAUUUAUUGGGCGUAAAGAGCUCGUAGGCGGCUUGUCACGUCGACUGUGAAAUCCCGCGGCUCAACUGCGGGUCUGCAGUCGAUACGGGCAGGCUAGAGUUCGGUAGGGGAGACUGGAAUUCCUGGUGUAGCGGUGAAAUGCGCAGAUAUCAGGAGGAACACCGGUGGCGAAGGCGGGUCUCUGGGCCGAUACUGACGCUGAGGAGCGAAAGCGUGGGGAGCGAACAGGAUUAGAUACCCUAGUAGUCC